RNAcentral lists this small RNA (505 nucleotides) under Pan troglodytes (chimpanzee). RNAcentral's name for it is "retained intron". The record is from RNAcentral. Lineage: Eukaryota; Metazoa; Chordata; Mammalia; Primates; Hominidae.
CAUGGAUGCACAAGUCAAAGCUAUUGCUGAUACUGGUGCAAAUGUCGUAGUAACAGGUGGCAAAGUGGCAGACAUGGCUCUUCAUUAUGCAAAUAAAUAUAAUAUCAUGUUAGUGAGGCUAAACUCAAAAUGGGAUCUCCGAAGACUUUGUAAAACAGUUGGUGCUACAGCUCUUCCUAGAUUGGUAUGUAUGUUGGAAAACACUAAAAGAUAGUUGAACAAGAUGGAAUUUUUAUUACAACAGUCACUUUCUUACAGACACCUCCUGUCCUUGAAGAAAUGGGACACUGUGACAGUGUUUGCCUCUCAGAAGUUGGAGAUACUCAGGUGGUGGUUUUUAAGCAUGGUAUGUAGGAAUGGUAAAACAUGUUUAAGUGUAGGGCUUUAGCUUCUUGUAUUUAAUCACCAAAUAUAUUUAAUUUUUUGAUAGAAAAGGAAGAUGGCGCCAUUUCUACCAUAGUACUUCGAGGCUCUACAGACAAUCUGAUGGAUGACAUAGAAAGGG